UACGUAGGGUGCAAGCGUUAAUCGGAAUUACUGGGCGUAAAGCGUGCGCAGGCGGUGAUGUAAGACAGAUGUGAAAUCCCCGGGCUCAACCUGGGAACUGCAUUUGUGACUGCAUCGCUGGAGUGCGGCAGAGGGGGAUGGAAUUCCGCGUGUAGCAGUGAAAUGCGUAGAUAUGCGGAGGAACACCGGUGGCGAAGGCAAUCCCCUGGACCUGUACUGACGCUCAUGCACGAAAGCGUGGGGAGCAAACAGG
Molecule: ribosomal RNA, 253 nt
Filed under: uncultured bacterium
Lineage: Bacteria
Description: partial 16S ribosomal RNA
Rfam family: Bacterial small subunit ribosomal RNA
Source: RNAcentral